Molecule: ribosomal RNA, 27 nt
Filed under: Vibrio parahaemolyticus
Lineage: Bacteria; Pseudomonadati; Pseudomonadota; Gammaproteobacteria; Vibrionales; Vibrionaceae
Source: RNAcentral
CACCUGAUUCCAUUCCGAACUCAGAAG